UCCUCAUUUCUAUUUCCUCUUCAGGACACCAAGGGCCCUACAAGACACAUGACCUUUCUGCAUACAACAUAAAGCUCAGUUCUCUCUGGCCUCUAUAGUUUGGUUUAGCACCAGGGAACCCAUGACCUCCAAGAACAAGGCACCACUGCAACAACAGCUUCCAUCCACAGCUUCAGGGGCCGAACCAAAGUCUCCUUGAAAUCUUAUGUAAGAGGAUUUGGAAAGCUCAACAAUUCCCCAAAACCCUGACAGGAUAUCUUCCAGGACAAUCUCACCAUCUCACAGAAGCCCUUGACCUGAUGUCUUGCAGUACCACACUCCGUGUAUUUGACAAGCUGAGUUGGACACUCCAUGUGGUAGAGUGUCAGUUUGUCAAAUACCCCAAGUGCGGCACAUGCCUAGCAGCUCCAAACUGGGGCAGAUGAGAUGCAAGAAAUGGACUGCUGGUUGGAUGUAAGAAUGCUCACCCAAAGCCAAGCUUUUCCAAGUCAUAUUUUUGAGAUUUUAAGAGAACUAAAGCAUUGCAUCUGAGGGAGUUGGGGUGAGGGAAUGAGGCAACUCUCUGAGCUCCAGCCCUGGGCUAUGUCUAUAUGCAUUUUUUUUUCUUCACACAUUUUUAUAAUGCUGAAAAGCAUACAAUAAUCUUGAAAAAAAUAAGAAUACGGAGACAUAGCUGCUCUUGGUUUUUCUUUUUUGAUUCUUUUCUUUCUUCAUAUUCCCUUUCCAGUCUCAUAGCCAGGGCAACAGAAUUCUUACACAAGCAUUUUGGCUUAUGUGAUGAAGCAGGAUGUAGAAAUACACUUUCUUAUCACUUGUUCUUACUUUCUAAGUGAACUUUAACCUUGCACAUCUCUCCCCUUUUCCUUUUUUUUGAACAUUCCCAUUUCUUCAUGCCUGUCCAAUUCUUCAUCAUAUUUCCUGGUCUCACCAAAAUUCAAUCUCAUUUUGACAGUUAACCUACACUUCUUUUUUUCUCGUUCACAAAACACUCUUUGCCUGGGUCCUGGUAUGUGUUACUAUAUCUCUUACCACCUAUUAUAAACUUUUGGAGUGUUAUUGAUAUAUUUCAGGGGAAUACUCUUGAAUUCCCCAUUACAUGUGAGCUUCUAGAGGAUAAAACUCUUUCCUUGAUUCCUGUCAUCCACAAUAGUCCAUAAUUUUGACUUAACAAAAUAUUCAAUAAAUGUUUAAUGAAUGAUUUAUUUUUCAAUAGUUCAGUAGCCUUUGGUCUUGAUUUAUUUUCCAUUAGUUCAUUAACUUUGGGUCUUCGUGUCAAAUGUCACUCAGGAUUUUGUGAAAAAUAUCAAACUGUAAGGGAGAGAUAAAUGAAAUGGAGGUCAAGGAUCAAAAAUGAUUAAUACAUGCCAUAUUCAUGUACCAAGUUCCUAAAAUAAGUAUAAUUAUUAUACGCUACAAGCAUAUGCUAAGAAAUCAAAUUUAGGAUUACACAAUACUACAGGGUAUAUGAAGUACUAGCUAAUAUUGAAGUUUUUCUUCCUAAGAAAUAAGGCCAAGAGCUGGAGGAGGAGUUAAAGAUAUAGAUUCAGAGGGUAAAUGCAUUUUGGAAUUGAUUAUGCAAGGCUACACAUUUACUUUAUUGUAAGACUUAUAGAGCCUUUAUUAUUUUAGUAUUGCAAAUAAAUCAGACUCAUAUGUAUAAACAUUGUAUUGUCUCCUUAGUUUGAGAAGCUGAAAGUGUAAAUAAGAUCCAAAGUGUACAAUAGAUUUUGAGAAAUGUGAAGAAACUGUUGAAAAGGAAUGAGAAACUUAGAUGGGGAAAAAGAGAAAAAAAGGAAGAGGGAAAAAUAGUUAAGAAGGUUAUACUAUAAAUUUCUCUCAGUUCACUGAAAACAAAGGUUUGUGCUAAUAUUGUUUGGACAACAGAAAUACUAUAUUUUGUACUCUGAGAAACUAAUUUAAAGAUAACAGUAUGAAAUGUAUCAACCAUUGUUACUCUCCUCUUAUCUUGUUAUGAAAUUUUGUUUUAUUUUUUGACUUUAAAAUAAAAUUUGAAAAAAUA
Long non-coding RNA from Cavia porcellus (domestic guinea pig), 2020 nucleotides. RefSeq lists it as uncharacterized. The transcript has 3 exons. Lineage: Eukaryota; Metazoa; Chordata; Mammalia; Rodentia; Caviidae. The record is from RefSeq and is a predicted model, not a curated record.